GACGAACGCUGGCGGCGUGCCUAAUACAUGCAAGUAGAACGCUGAAGGAGGAGCUUGCUUCUCCGGAUGAGUUGCGAACGGGUGAGUAACGCGUAGGUAACCUGCCUGGUAGCGGGGGAUAACUAUUGGAAACGAUAGCUAAUACCGCAUAACAGUAGAUAUUGCAUGAUAUCUGCUUGAAAGGUGCAAUUGCAUCACUACCAGAUGGACCUGCGUUGUAUUAGCUAGUUGGUGAGGUAACGGCUCACCAAGGCGACGAUACAUAGCCGACCUGAGAGGGUGAUCGGCCACACUGGGACUGAGACACGGCCCAGACUCCUACGGGAGGCAGCAGUAGGGAAUCUUCGGCAAUGGACGGAAGUCUGACCGAGCAACGCCGCGUGAGUGAAGAAGGUUUUCGGAUCGUAAAGCUCUGUUGUAAGAGAAGAACGAGUGUGAGAGUGGAAAGUUCACACCGUGACGGUAUCUUACCAGAAAGGGAUGGCUAACUACGUG
This 495-nucleotide ribosomal RNA is filed under the name uncultured bacterium. Its description in RNAcentral is "partial 16S ribosomal RNA". It matches the Rfam family "Bacterial small subunit ribosomal RNA", at positions 28 to 507 of the family's 1533-position model. The record is from RNAcentral.